CGUGGUCGCUAGCCUUUACCGUGUAAAGCCCCUUUCGACGAGUCGAGUUGUUUGGGAAUGCAGCUCUAAAUGGGAGGUAAAUUUCUUCUAAAGCUAAAUACUGGCCAGAGACCGAUAGCGCACAAGUAGAGUGAUCGAAAGAUGAAAAGCACUUUGGAAAGAGAGUUAAAAAGCACGUGAAAUUGUUGAAAGGGAAGCGCUUGCAGCCAGACUUGCCUGUAGUUGCUCAUCCGGGUUUUUACCCGGUGCACUCUUCUAUAGGCAGGCCAGCAUCAGUUUGGGCGGUUGGAUAAAGGUCUCUGUCACGUACCUCCUCUCGGGGAGAACUUAUAGGGGAGACGUAAUGCAACCAGCCUGGACUGAGGUCCGCGGAUGCUG
RNAcentral lists this ribosomal RNA (378 nucleotides) under Boeremia exigua. RNAcentral describes it as "partial large subunit ribosomal RNA". It matches the Rfam family "Eukaryotic large subunit ribosomal RNA", at positions 222 to 628 of the family's 3401-position model. Lineage: Eukaryota; Fungi; Ascomycota; Dothideomycetes; Pleosporales; Didymellaceae. The record is from RNAcentral.